AAGAAACCUGGAAAGGUAGGGAGUACCCUUGGCUGUGUACAUUUGAGUAAAGAGAGCACUAUAAAAUCAAAAACCAAUGAAAUGGUUUCCAGAACACAGAACUAUUAAGCUUAAGAAAAGGACAGAAGGAACUGAAGAGAGAGGAACUGUUUUGGAGCAUCACACUUCCACCUCAGAAGAAAUAAGGAAGGAAGGAGGAGGGUGUUCCCACGGCUCUUCAACCAGGCCGGCUCUUCAGCCUACAUCCCCAUCUCAUCAAGUAAAAGGGAUUUUUCAACUGGACCAACCAGAUGGUUUAACAGUGCACUCCCACACCAUUCAACUACGCAAGGGAGAUACACUUAACAUAUGCAGUCGUAUAACACCUACUAACAUUUUCAAACAUUAAACCUUUAAAAAAGAGUUCUAAAGAAAUAGAAGCUUGAAGUAUCAUCUCUCAAGUAUAUAGACACUACUUCAUGGUGUGGUAAUAUAUGCAUAUAGAAGCUAGUAAACACCUCCAGGAGAUGCAAAAGGAAUUAGAACUGCCACAAGGUGCAAGCAAAACCUUGAGGUGAGAAAAUCGAAUUUGGACACCGUUGAGGAGACUAUUGCAGUCAUCCAAGCUCAAGAUGGUGGAGCUUCAUCCUUGAGAAUAACCAAUGGGGAUAGAUUUAAGAGACACUUAGAGUCUGCAGCCAACAGGGCUGAAUGAGCAGUAAGUAGGAG
RNAcentral lists this long non-coding RNA (708 nucleotides) under Homo sapiens (human). Its description in RNAcentral is "non-protein coding LINC00343:13". Lineage: Eukaryota; Metazoa; Chordata; Mammalia; Primates; Hominidae. The record is from RNAcentral.